GUCCACUGGGAAUCCAGCACAAUGGUGACUGAGCCCUUUGUUCUCUCUGUUUCCAAGAGUCACAUUUCUGUCCUGUGAAUCUCGUCUAGAAUUCUCGGACUCCUUCCUCUUGCAAAAACACCGCUUAGAUCAUCUCAUUCAAGAAAGCCUCUGUCCACCUGAAAAGUGCAUAUUGGCUCAAAGUCUCCAGUGCUCAGAACUUUGAGAAUCUUCCUAUGCCUUCCAGCAGCAUCCAUGCAGGUAUCAAGGAGGCCCCCAGCCAAUGGCUGACCAAGAUGAUAUUAAAAGGAUUUGCCUAUUUCCACUCCAAACAGGAGCUGCUUUAAGGAACAAUAUUUGCUCUGAAGACUGUCCAUUGGACUGGCUCAGAAUUUUUGGGGCCAGGGUCAUGGUCUCAUUGUUGGCGUUGCCCAAUUCUACCUAUUUUUCUUUCAUUUUUUUCACAAGUGUUACUACCCAAUAUAAUUUUGCAAUUGUGUUUUUCCUCAGACUUUUUGGAGUAUAAUCGACAAAUAAAAAUUGUGUAUACUCAGGGUCUAUAGUGUGAUGAGGUGAUAUCUACAUACAUUGUAGUGAUGUGUAAUGAUUACCACAAUCAAAUUGACCAACUCAUCUGUCAUCAAACGUAGAUAUCUUGCCUGUGUGUGUGCAUUUAUGUGUGUAUGGUGAGGAUACUUAAGAUCUUCACUGUUAGCAAAUUUCAAGUAAAGAAUGCAGUAUUAUUAACUAAGUAACCACACACUACAUUAGAUCUCCUGUACUUAUUCAUCUUAUAACUCAAAGUUUGUAACCUUUGAUCAUCUCCCCAUUUCUUCCAAACCCGAACUCCUGGUAACCAUCAAUCCACUCUCUGAUUCUGUGAUUUAGACUAUUAAACUCCAUAUAUUAGAGACAUAAUACAGUAUUUGUCUUUCUGUGGCUGGCUUAUUUCACUUAGCGUAAUGUUCUUUACAUUCAUACAGGCAGGAUUUUCUUUUUUUUUUUUUUAAUGGGUGAAGAAUGUUUCAUUUCACACACACACACACAAACACACACACAAUGACAUAUCAUAUAUAUAUAGUGUGUUUGCACAUAAAUAUACACAAUUUUAUUUAUAUAUUAUAUAUAUUUUUUAUCCAUUCAUCUGUUGCGGACA
This is a long non-coding RNA of Homo sapiens (human), 1135 nucleotides long. The record is from Ensembl. Lineage: Eukaryota; Metazoa; Chordata; Mammalia; Primates; Hominidae.